This 499-nucleotide ribosomal RNA is filed under the name uncultured bacterium. RNAcentral describes it as "SSU rRNA". It matches the Rfam family "Bacterial small subunit ribosomal RNA", at positions 26 to 524 of the family's 1533-position model. The record is from RNAcentral.
AGAGCGAACGCUGGCGGCGUGCUUAACACAUGCAAGUCGAACGCGCAGCAUUCUGUAGCAAUACAGGGUGUGGGCGCGUGGCGAACGGGUGCGUAACACGUGGAUAACCUUCCUUCAGGUGGGGAAUAACCCAGUGAAAAUUGGGCUAAUACCGCAUAACAAAACGAUGAGACAUCUUGUUGUUUUCAAAGGCGCAAGUCGCCAGAAGAGGGAUCCGCGGCCGAUUAGCUUGUUGGCGAGGUAAUGGCUCACCAAGGCAAUGAUCGGUAGCCGGACUGAGAGGUUGGCCGGCCACACUGGAACUGAGACACGGUCCAGACUCCUACGGGAGGCAGCAGUGGGGAAUCUUGCACAAUGGGCGAAAGCCUGAUGCAGCAACGCCGCGUGGGGGAUGAAGCUUCUCGGAGUGUAAACCCUUUCGACCCGGAAGAAAGCCCGCAAGGGUUGACGGUACGGGUAUAAGAAGCCCGGCUAACUACGUGCCAGCAGCCGCGGUAAU